AGUGAACGCUGGCGGUAGGCCUAACACAUGCAAGUCGAACGGCAGCACAGUAAGAGCUUGCUCUUACGGGUGGCGAGUGGCGGACGGGUGAGGAAUACUUCGGAAUCUACUUUUUCGUGGGGGAUAACGUAGGGAAACUUACGCUAAUACCGCAUACGACCUACGGGUGAAAGCAGGGGAUCUUCGGACCUUGCGCGAUUGAAUGAGCCGAUGUCGGAUUAGCUAGUUGGCGGGGUAAAGGCCCACCAAGGCGACGAUCCGUAGCUGGUCUGAGAGGAUGAUCAGCCACACUGGAACUGAGACACGGUCCAGACUCCUACGGGAGGCAGCAGUGGGGAAUAUUGGACAAUGGGCGCAAGCCUGAUCCAGCCAUACCGCGUGGGUGAAGAAGGCCUUCGGGUUGUAAAGCCCUUUUGUUGGGAAAGAAAAGCAGCAGGUUAAUACCCCGCUGUUCUGACGGUACCCAAAGAAUAAGCACGGGCUAACUUCGUG
This 492-nucleotide ribosomal RNA is filed under the name uncultured bacterium. Its description in RNAcentral is "partial 16S ribosomal RNA". It matches the Rfam family "Bacterial small subunit ribosomal RNA", at positions 29 to 507 of the family's 1533-position model. The record is from RNAcentral.